This 87-nucleotide transfer RNA is filed under the name Mycoplasmopsis cynos. Its description in RNAcentral is "tRNA-Leu". It matches the Rfam family "tRNA". From Rfam's summary of the family: Transfer RNA (tRNA) molecules are approximately 80 nucleotides in length. Their secondary structure includes four short double-helical elements and three loops (D, anti-codon, and T loops). The record is from RNAcentral. Lineage: Bacteria; Bacillati; Mycoplasmatota; Mycoplasmoidales; Metamycoplasmataceae.
GCGCGAAUGGUGAAAUUGGAGACACGCUAGAUUUAGGGCUCUAGUGCUUUAAACAGCGUGAGGGUUCGAGUCCCUCUUCGCGCACCA